UACGUAGGGGGCAAGCGUUGUCCGGAUUUAUUGGGCGUAAAGAGCGUGUAGGCGGCCGUACAGGUCAGCUGUGAAAACUCGAGGCUCAACCUCGAGACGUCGGUUGAAACCGUACGGCUAGAGUCCGGAAGAGGAGAGUGGAAUUCCCGGUGUAGCGGUGAAAUGCGCAGAUAUCGAGAGGAACACCGGUGGCGAAGGCGGCCAGCUGGACGAAUACUGACGCUGAGACUCGAAAGCGUGGGGAGCAAACAGG
Molecule: ribosomal RNA, 253 nt
Filed under: uncultured bacterium
Lineage: Bacteria
Description: partial 16S ribosomal RNA
Rfam family: Bacterial small subunit ribosomal RNA
Source: RNAcentral